CCUGGCUCAGGACGAACGCUGGCGGCGUGCCUAAUACAUGCAAGUCGAGCGAAUCAUUAGGAGCUUGCUCCUGAUGGUUAGCGGCGGACGGGUGAGUAACACGUGGGCAACCUGCCUGUAAGACUGGGAUAACUUCGGGAAACCAGAGCUAAUACCGGAUAAUCCUUUUCCUCACAUGAGGAAAAGCUGAAAGACGGUUUCGGCUGUCACUUACAGAUGGGCCCGCGGCGCAUUAGCUAGUUGGUGAGGUAACGGCUUACCAAGGCGACGAUGCGUAGCCGACCUGAGAGGGUGAUCGGCCACACUGGGACUGAGACACGGCCCAGACUCCUACGGGAGGCAGCAGUAGGGAAUCUUCCGCAAUGGACGAAAGUCUGACGGAGCAACGCCGCGUGAACGAUGAAAGCCUUCGGGUCGUAAAGUUCUGUUGUUAGGGAAGAACGAGUACCGGAGUAACUGCCGGUACCUUUGACGGGUACCUAACCAGAAAGCCACGGCUAACUACGUGCCAGCAGCGCGGUAAUACGUAGGUGGCAAGCGUUGUCCGGAAUUAUUGGG
Molecule: ribosomal RNA, 558 nt
Filed under: uncultured Bacilli bacterium
Lineage: Bacteria; Bacillati; Bacillota; Bacilli
Description: bacterial SSU rRNA
Rfam family: Bacterial small subunit ribosomal RNA
Source: RNAcentral